Molecule: ribosomal RNA, 402 nt
Filed under: Palaeodocosia vittata
Lineage: Eukaryota; Metazoa; Arthropoda; Insecta; Diptera; Mycetophilidae
Description: partial 12S ribosomal RNA
Source: RNAcentral
CUGGGAUUAGAUACCCUGUUAUUGAAAAUUUAAUUGAAAAAAAAAUAGAGUAGUAUUAGUUAUUUUCUUGAAACUUAAAAAAUUUGGCGGUAUUUUAAUCUAAUCAGAGGAACUUGUUUUUUAAUUGAUAAUCCUCAUUAUAUCUUACUUAAUUUAAAUAAUUUGUAUACCGUCGUCAUAAGAAUUUCUUAAAAAAGAAAAAAUUUUCUAAAAUUAAAAUUUUUAAUUAUGUCAGAUCAAGGUGCAGUUUAUAAUUAAGUUUAAAUGAGUUACAAUAAAAUUAUUUAUUUACAGUUUUAAAAAUUAAAAUUUUUAAUUAAGGUGGAUUUGAUAGUAAAAUAAAUAAUAGAAUUUAUUUGAUUUUAGUUCUAAAAUAUGUACAAAUCGCCCGUCACUCUCUGA